GCUCAGUAACACGUGGACAACCUGCCCUUGUGAGAGGGACAAACCCGGGAAACUGGGGCUAAUACCUCAUAGAUGAGAACCUCUGGAAUGAAUCUCAUCUAAAGACUACAUCCUAUUGCCGGAUGUCGUCGCUCAAGGAUGGGUCUGCGGCGGAUUAGGUAGACGUUAGGGUAAUGGCCUAACGUGCCCACAAUCCGUACCGGCUAUGAGAGUAGGUGCCGGGAGAUGGAUACUGAGACAAAGAUCCAGACCCUACGGGGUGCAGCAGGUGCGAAAAUUCCGCAAUGCGUGCAAGCGCGACGGAGUGACCCCCAGUGCCGAUGGUCUAACGAUCGUCGGCUUUUCUGGAGUGUAAAAAGCUCUGGGUAAUAAGGGCCGGGUAAGACUGGUGCCAGCCGCCGCGGUAACACCAGCGGCUCAAGUGGUAGUCGAUUUUAUUGGGUCUAAAGCGUCCGUAGCCGGAUCGUCAAGUCCCUUGUGAAAUCGGGCGGCUUAACCGCUCGGCUUGCAAGAGAAACUGACGUUCUUGGGGUCGGCAGGCGCCAAGGGUACUCCGGAGGUAGCGGUGAAAUGCUAUAAUCUUCGGGGGACCGCCGGUGGCGAAAGCGCUCGGCGGGGCCGAACCCGACGGUGAGGGACGAAGGCCAGGGGAGCGAACCGGAUUAGAUACCCGGGUAGUCCUGGCUGUAAAGUAUGUGGGCCAGGUGCCAGACGUUCCUCGAGAGCGCUUGGUGCCGAAGGGAAGCCGUUAAGCCCACCACCUGGGGAGUACGGUCGCAAGACUGAAACUUAAAGAAAUUGGCGGGGGAGCACCACAAGGGGUGGAGCCUGCGGUUUAAUUGGAUUCAACGCCGGACAUCUCACCGGGGGCGACGGCAGAGUGAAGGCCAAGUUGACGACUUUGCCGGACUCGCCGAGAGGUGGUGCAUGGCCGCCGUCAGCUCGUAUCGUGAGACGUCCUGUCAAGUCAGGUAACGAGCGAGACCCUUAUCCUUAGUUGCCAGCGGAUCCCUCUGGGAUGCCGGGCACUCUAAGGAGACCGCUGUCGAUAAGGCAGAGGAAGGAGAGGGCGACGGUAGGUCCGUAUGCCCCGAAUCCCCCGGGCAACACGCGGGCUACAAUGCGCGGGACAGAGGGCUGCGACCCCGAGAGGGGAAGCCGAUCCCUAAACCUGCGCCUAGUUCGGAUCGAGGGCUGCAACUCGCCCUCGUGAAGCUGGAAUCCCUAGUAAUCGCGUGUCACUAUCGCGCGGUGAAUACGUCCCUGCUCCUUGCACACCCC
This 1281-nucleotide ribosomal RNA is filed under the name uncultured archaeon. RNAcentral describes it as "bacterial SSU rRNA". It matches the Rfam family "Archaeal small subunit ribosomal RNA", at positions 88 to 1347 of the family's 1478-position model. The record is from RNAcentral.